This 433-nucleotide ribosomal RNA is filed under the name uncultured bacterium. RNAcentral's name for it is "partial 16S ribosomal RNA". It matches the Rfam family "Bacterial small subunit ribosomal RNA", at positions 29 to 507 of the family's 1533-position model. The record is from RNAcentral.
AACGAACGCUGGCGGCAUGCCUAACACAUGCAAGUCGAACGAGACCUUCGGGUCUAGUGGCGCACGGGUGCGUAACGCGUGGGAACCUGCCCUUAGGUUCGGAAUAACUCCCCGAAAGGGGUGCUAAUACCGGAUAAUGUCUUCGGACCAAAGAUUUAUCGCCUUUGGAUGGGCCCGCGUUGGAUUAGCUAGUUGGUAGGGUAAAAGCCUACCAAGGCGACGAUCCAUAGCUGGUCUGAGAGGAUGAUCAGCCAGACUGGGACUGAGACACGGACCAGACUCGUACGGAAGGAAGCAGUGGGGAAUAUUGGACAAGGGGCGAAAGCCUGAUCCAGCAGUGCCGCGUGAGUGAUGAAGGCCUUAGGGUUGUAAAGCUCUUUUACCCGGGAUGAUAAUGACAGUACCGGGAGAAGAAGCGCCGGCUAACUCCGUG